AAAAAAAAAAGAAAGCAAAGGAAAACAUGGAUAGAGAUGGUUCUACAGCCUUUCAUAUAAAAGAACAACCCUUGAGCACCUAAAAAGAGCCCUGAAGAAAAAGAAAGAUCCCCAGAGGGAGACAUGAGGAGAGAGUCCAUUCCAGGGAAGUAAUCUAGUCAAAGAUACCAAAGAAAAAGAUGAAAUUUUUAGAUCAGGGAAUAGCAAGCAGGCUAGUCCAGUUGGAACUAAAUGUAUAUGAAAGGGAAUAAGAGGAACCCAAUCCAGAAAAGGUAGACUGGAGCCAGACAAAGAUUUAAAUACCAAGUUGAAGAAUAUGUUAGGAAUAAUCACAGCUAAACUGACCCGAUAAUACCCUCAAGAAUUGAAAGGAAGCCCUGGUUAGAAGACCAGAUAUAUGCACUGAUUUAUUCAGAAGAAUAGCAUCAAAAGCCAAUCCACAAAACUAUCCCUUUUUGUGGCCUCUGGCAUUCUAGCUGAAAAUCAUGGCCAUGUUAAACAGCAGUUUUCCCUUCCUUUGGCUACAGUAUAGCAUUAAGUCAUCUAGAGCUAAAGUGUGUUAAGUCCAAAACUCCAGGAUGCUCCCAGCAAGCUACUUGGUAAAGCAACUUAAAUGGGGAAAAAAUAUGUAUGGCUUACAUGUGUUCACAGAGUCGGGUAAAGCCAUUUUCAAUUCCACGUCUGACUCAUCCCCAAGUUGGCUGUCUGAUGGUGAUGAAUUUUUCAGCCCCAGGAUGGUCUCAAAUGAUCAUCUAGUAAGCUUCAGGAGUGGGGGAGGGCAGCCUGAUAGAGUUCGAAGGCAUACUCACAUAAAAAUGUAGCAUUGUCUCCAGUGGAGGGCUCCAUUUUGAACCCAGCAAGUAGGCAAAGAAGCCAUUAGGUCCUGUAGUCAAGAGAAAUGGCCAAAAGCAGAGGAAAAUCUGAGAUUUAAAGAAGAUGGACCCAGGAGAGGCAGAUGGACCAUUCAGAAAGCCGGCAGGGGGAAGGGAGAAUUGAGAAUUCCAUGGAAGAUUCAAAAAGCUGAAACUGUUGGCCAGAGCUGGUUCUGGUUACUCUCUUACCAAAGACUCUGACAAGAGCUAGGGAGGAGAGUUGCUCUUCUAAUACUCCUUCUACCUGGCAGAACUGAAGAAAGUUCUUGCCCACUGAAGACCUCUGCUGAUUUAAAACUAACUUUCCCUUACCAUUUCUCUGAAGAGACAUUGUGACCAAAGCCUUCAACAGUUGAUAGAGAAAAGAUAUUAGGGACCUCCCACAUCUUCCCUCUACCCCUCUGUCUCCCUAUCUUUCUUUUCCAAGAAAUAAAUUAGCUAUUUUAGUUUACA
Molecule: long non-coding RNA, 1325 nt
Filed under: Monodelphis domestica (gray short-tailed opossum)
Lineage: Eukaryota; Metazoa; Chordata; Mammalia; Didelphimorphia; Didelphidae
Description: lncRNA (ENSMODG00000051578.1)
Source: RNAcentral